RNAcentral lists this ribosomal RNA (693 nucleotides) under uncultured bacterium. Its description in RNAcentral is "bacterial SSU rRNA". It matches the Rfam family "Bacterial small subunit ribosomal RNA", at positions 32 to 715 of the family's 1533-position model. The record is from RNAcentral.
AACGCUAGCUACAGGCUUAACACAUGCAAGUCGAGGGGCAGCAUGAACUUAGCUUGCUAAGUUUGAUGGCGACCGGCGCACGGGUGAGUAACACGUAUCCAACCUGCCGAUGACUCGGGGAUAGCCUUUCGAAAGAAAGAUUAAUACCCGAUGGCAUAGUUCUUCCGCAUGGUGGAACUAUUAAAGAAUUUCGGUCAUCGAUGGGGAUGCGUUCCAUUAGGUUGUUGGCGGGGUAACGGCCCACCAAGCCUUCGAUGGAUAGGGGUUCUGAGAGGAAGGUCCCCCACAUUGGAACUGAGACACGGUCCAAACUCCUACGGGAGGCAGCAGUGAGGAAUAUUGGUCAAUGGACGAGAGUCUGAACCAGCCAAGUAGCGUGAAGGAUGACUGCCCUAUGGGUUGUAAACUUCUUUUAUACGGGAAUAAAGUGAGGCACGUGUGCCUUUUUGUAUGUACCGUAUGAAUAAGGAUCGGCUAACUCCGUGCCAGCAGCCGCGGUAAUACGGAGGAUCCGAGCGUUAUCCGGAUUUAUUGGGUUUAAAGGGAGCGUAGGCGGACGCUUAAGUCAGUUGUGAAAGUUUGCGGCUCAACCGUAAAAUUGCAGUUGAUACUGGGUGUCUUGAGUACAGUAGAGGCAGGCGGAAUUCGUGGUGUAGCGGUGAAAUGCUUAGAUAUCACGAAGAACUCUGAUUG